Molecule: ribosomal RNA, 253 nt
Filed under: uncultured bacterium
Lineage: Bacteria
Description: partial 16S ribosomal RNA
Rfam family: Bacterial small subunit ribosomal RNA
Source: RNAcentral
UACAGAGGUGGCAAGCGUUGCUCGGUAUCACUGGGCUUAAAGGGCGCGUAGGCGGUGCGGUACGGUUUCGGUGAAAUCCCACGGCUCACCCGUGGAACUGCUGGGCAUACUGGCGAUCUUGGGCCAACUAGGGGCAGUCGGAACAAGCGGUGGAGCGGUGAAAUGCGUAGAUAUCGCUUGGAACGCCGAAGGUGAAAACAGACUGCUGGGGUUGCGCCGACGCUGAGACACGAAAGCCAGGGGAGCAAACGGG